AGGGGCUCUUUUUGGUGGGCGUGCUUACCAUGCAAGCCGAGCGAGAAACUCAAACCCGAAAUUUCGGUCGAACAUUUGAGCGGAAAGAGGGGAGGGGGAGAAACGCGUAGGCACCUGCCCUUUGAGAAAAAUAAAAUCGGGAAACUGAUAUUAAAACCUCAUAAAACCGGAAGUGCACAUGCACAUUUGGUCAAAGAUUUAUUUUCUAGGGAUGGGCCUGCGUCUGAUUAGUCAGUUGGUGGGGUAACGGCUCACCAAGGCAGUGAUCAGUAGCCGACCUGAGAGGGUGAUCGGCCACAUUGGAACUGAGACACGGUCCAGACUCCUGCGGGAGGCAGCAGUGGGGAAUAUUGCACAAUGGGGGAAACCCUGAUGCAGCAACGCCGCGUGAAGGAAGAAGGCCUUUGGGUCGUAAACUUCUGUCCUUGGGGAAGAAAAAAAUGACGGUACCCUUGGAGGAAGCCCCGGCUAACUACGUGCCAGCACCCGCGGUAAUACGUAGGGGGCGAGCGUUAUCCGGAAUUAUUGGGCGUAAAGGGUGCGUAGGUGGUUUUUUAAGCGCAGGGUCUAAUGCACAGGCUUAACUUGUGUCCGCCUUGCGAACUGAAGGACUUGAGUGCAGGAGAGGAAAGCGGAAUUCCUAGUGUAGCGGUGAAAUGCGUAGAUAUUAGGAGGAACGCCAGUGGCGAAGGCGGCUUUCUGGACUGUAACUGACACUGACGCACGAAAGCGUGGUAGCAAACAGGAUUAGAUACCCCUGUUAGUCCACGCCCGUAAA
RNAcentral lists this ribosomal RNA (778 nucleotides) under uncultured bacterium. Its description in RNAcentral is "bacterial SSU rRNA". It matches the Rfam family "Bacterial small subunit ribosomal RNA", at positions 25 to 806 of the family's 1533-position model. The record is from RNAcentral.